GUGGGGAAUCUUGCGCAAUGGGCGAAAGCCUGACGCAGCCAUGCCGCGUGAAUGAUGAAGGUCUUAGGAUUGUAAAAUUCUUUCACCGGGGACGAUAAUGACGGUACCCGGAGAAGAAGCUCCGGCUAACUUCGUGCCAGCAGCCGCGGUAAUACGAAGGGGGCUAGCGUUGCUCGGAAUUACUGGGCGUAAAGGGCGCGUAGGCGGACAGCUUAGUCAGAGGUGAAAGCCCAGGGCUCAACCUUGGAAUUGCCUUUGAUACUGGCUGUCUUGAGUUUGGGAGAGGUGAGUGGAACUCCGAGUGGAGAGGUGAAAUUCGUAGAUAUUCGGAAGAACACCAGUGGCGAAGGCGACUCACUGGCCCAAUACUGACGCUGAGGCGCGAAAGCGUGGGGAGCAAACAGGAUUAGAUACCCCGGUAGUCC
This 425-nucleotide ribosomal RNA is filed under the name uncultured bacterium. Its description in RNAcentral is "partial 16S ribosomal RNA". It matches the Rfam family "Bacterial small subunit ribosomal RNA", at positions 354 to 796 of the family's 1533-position model. The record is from RNAcentral.